Molecule: long non-coding RNA, 1829 nt
Filed under: Androctonus crassicauda
Lineage: Eukaryota; Metazoa; Arthropoda; Arachnida; Scorpiones; Buthidae
Source: RNAcentral
AAAGAAAAAUUUAGAUGUAUAAUAAUAGAUUAAUAUGAUAUAUAAAUAUUCGAAAUUUAUUUAAAUCUUUUCUAGUCAUUUCUUAGAAAAAUAUAAAAUAUAGCUGUACGUAUUUGCUGUGUCAGUGAACAGUUAUCUGGAAAAGGAGAUUUGUCAAAUUUUCGAGAACCCUCUCUUAUCCUACUAUAGUGUUUGACGUUAAAUUUCCAGAUACUAUUAGAUCUCCUGACCGAAUGGCCAGCCUUGGAAACACUAAAAUUUUGUAAAAGUGUCUGUCGGUGGUCGGUGAAAAAUAAUAACAAUAGGGUUAGUUGAGAGCAGUUUUACCUGUAUUUUACAAUAAUUAUGAAUAUGUAUUUUUUUCGGACCGGUCUGUUCGUAAAAUAUCUCCAGAACGAAACAUGGAAGCGCAUUGAAAUUUUAUCGGAUCUUCCAUUGAUUUCCCAGCUCAGGGUGGUCCCACUCUAAGAUUACGAUUUUUGAAAUUUAAAAAAUUCUACCAUUCGAAACUGUGCCGUACGAAGAUAUUAUAAGGAUUUUUGGGUAAAGAAAAAUGGCUGAAAUACUACUUCUAUGGAUAAAAAGCUUUAUAUGUGUGGUUUUGGAAAGUGUGUAUAUUAUUUCCAAUGAUAAAAAACUAUUCAAAUUCCUCGUGCACCUCUUUUUAUUGUACAGAUACGUACAAAAAGCCUGCAAUGAAAUAUCACUGCAGUCGAGCCAGUAUAUACUAUGUACAAAUAUGGGACAUCGUCUAUAUAUAUAUAUUUAUAUUUAUAUAUAUGUAUAUCGAUGGUGUAACAUCACAUAAUAGCUCCUUACAUUCUCCUUGAGAUUGUCGUGACCUUUUUUUUUUGACACAAACUUUUGUCAAUAUUGCUCGAUCUUGACCACACCCAGAUCCCGAAUCGGAAAUUGGACCCAGACACUAUUUGGAUUUUUUCCCGUAAAUUAAAUGUCGAAAUUUAACUGAUUACAGCCAAAUUUUAAUACGGAAUUCCGUCCACAGAUGGCGGCACCGCAGUUUUGCUGAUUUUGGGUGUCAAAGUGUGGCCAAGAUCGACUUAGGAACAGAACUAGGGGUUAGGUGAUCUAACAAUAUCCGCGUCGGCAGAAAAUUUACAUAAACAUCCUUGGCUUAAUAUCCUUUUCACUAACAUACUUUCAUUAAGGAGACGAAUUUUCUAUCACAGAAUAACACAGUCAUAGUAGGCAUGAUAUACACAGAAUAGAUGAGUGGUUGGUCGUAACAGAUAAUAUAUGGCCACGUAACUGCCACCAAAAUGUCGACUAGUUGGCGGUUCGAAGCCGAGAUUACGUGCAAUCGAAGAUAUUCUGCACAUUGAAGUAUAUAAAAUAAAAUCGAUCCGAGUUUUGUUAGCGAGAGAAGUGCGGAGAUAAGGCACAACACAUGUUUAGCUAAUGAUCUGUAACGUUUGAUGAAGUGGACGUGUGGACGUCGUCAUUAUUCUUAACAGUUUUCUGAUCAUUUCUAACCUAAUUGACUAUGGUGAAGUCUCAUUAAUUUUACCUGUAAAACGAACAAUAAAAUGUUUGGGGACUCCUUUAAUGAAAGGGAAUGAAUGAGAAUGCAAAGUCAGUUGACCGAAGUGUGAUUAAUGCGCAGAUAAUUCAGUCUUUCACGUGUCGACUACGAAUGAUACUUUACACUUUCGUCUAAAUGUGUUCAUGUUGGCUGUUAAAUGAUUCAUGGCGGCGGCCGUUAAUUUUUUAUGUUUCAUUCACCCCAAUUUUGCACACGCGGUUUAAUCCAAUUUAGAUCUUUUCCCACUAAAAAUAUACCGAAAUGGUUAUCUAUGCUAAAAUAUCUG